RNAcentral lists this ribosomal RNA (253 nucleotides) under uncultured bacterium. RNAcentral's name for it is "partial 16S ribosomal RNA". It matches the Rfam family "Bacterial small subunit ribosomal RNA", at positions 524 to 776 of the family's 1533-position model. The record is from RNAcentral.
UACGAAGGGGGCUAGCGUUGCUCGGAAUUACUGGGCGUAAAGCGCACGUAGGCGGAUCGUUAAGUCGGGGGUGAAAUCCUGGAGCUCAACUCCAGAACUGCCUUCGAUACUGGCGAUCUCGAGUUCGGGAGAGGUGAGUGGAACUGCGAGUGUAGAGGUGAAAUUCGUAGAUAUUCGCAAGAACACCAGUGGCGAAGGCGGCUCACUGGCCCGAUACUGACGCCGAGGUGCGAAAGCGUGGGGAGCAAACAGG